UGCUACAAUGGCGCAUACAAAGAGAAGCGACCUCGCGAGAGCAAGCGGACCUCAUAAAGUGCGUCGUAGUCCGGAUUGGAGUCUGCAACUCGACUCCAUGAAGUCGGAAUCGCUAGUAAUCGUGGAUCAGAAUGCCACGGUGAAUACGUUCCCGGGCCUUGUACACACCGCCCGUCACACCAUGGGAGUGGGUUGCAAAAGAAGUAGGUAGCUUAACCUUCGGGAGGGCGCUUACCACUUUGUGAUUCAUGACUGGGGUGAAGUCGUAACAAGGUAACCGUAGGGGAACCUGCGG
Molecule: ribosomal RNA, 295 nt
Filed under: Escherichia coli
Lineage: Bacteria; Pseudomonadati; Pseudomonadota; Gammaproteobacteria; Enterobacterales; Enterobacteriaceae
Description: partial 16S ribosomal RNA
Rfam family: Bacterial small subunit ribosomal RNA
Source: RNAcentral